CCAAGGAAGGCAGCAGGCGCGCAAAUUACCCACUCCCGGCACGGGGAGGUAGUGACGAAAAAUAACAAUACGGGACUCUUUUGAGACCCCGUAAUUGGAAUGAGUACACUCCAAACCCUUUAACGAUGAACUAUUGGAGGUAAAGUCUGGUGCCAGCAUCCGCGGUAACUCCAGCUCCAAUAGCGUAUAUUAAAGUUGUUGCGGUUAAAAAGCUCGUAGUUGGAUCUUGGGUCGUUGCCUCUCGGUCCGGUUCACUCCGGCAACUGGCGGGCAGCGAUCAUUACGGCAGGCCAGCGUCCAUGAUCUUGACCGGUUGUGGACGUCGGCCGGCACGUUUACUUUGAAAAAAUUAGAGUGCUCAAAGCAGGCGCGACGCCUGGAUAAUGGUGCAUGGAAUAAUGGAAUAGGACCUCGGUUCUAUUUUGUUGGUUUUCGGAACACGAGGUAAUGAUUAAGAGGGACAGACGGGGGCAUUCGUAUUGCGACGCUAGAGGUGAAAUUCUUGGACCGCCGCACGACGAACUACUGCGAAAGCAUUUGCCAAGAAUGUUUCCAUUAAUCAAGAACGAAAGUCAGAGGUUCGAAGGCGAUCAGAUACCGCCCUAGUUCUGACCAUAAACGAUGCCAGCCAGCGAUCCGGCUGCGUUACUAUCAUGACGCGCCGGGCAGCUUCCGGGAAACCAAAGCUUUUGGGUUCCGGGGGGAGUAUGGUUGCAAAGCUGAAACUUAAAGGAAUUGACGGAAGCGCACACAAGAAAUGGGGCCUGCGGCUUAAUUUGACUCAACACGGUGCAACUCACCCGGCCCGGACACAGGAAGGAUUGACAGAU
RNAcentral lists this ribosomal RNA (830 nucleotides) under Tetragnatha vermiformis. Its description in RNAcentral is "SSU rRNA". It matches the Rfam family "Eukaryotic small subunit ribosomal RNA", at positions 416 to 1248 of the family's 1831-position model. Lineage: Eukaryota; Metazoa; Arthropoda; Arachnida; Araneae; Tetragnathidae. The record is from RNAcentral.